UGGACAGGUGGUGGCAUGGUUGUCGUCAGCUCGUGUCGUGAGAUGUGGUUAAGUCCCGCAACGAGCGCAACCCUCGACCUUAGUUGCCAGCAUUCAGUUGGGCACUCUAAGGUGACUGCCGGCUAAAAGUCGGAGGAAGGUGGGGGAUGACGUCAAAUCAUCAUGCCCCUUAUGACCUGGGCUACACACGUGCUACAAUGGGCGGUACAAAGGGCCGCGAACCCGCGAGGGGGAGCCAAUCCCAAAAAGCCGCUCUCAGUUCGGAUUGCAGGCUGCAACUCGCCUGCAUGAAGCCGGAAUCGCUAGUAAUCGCGGAUCAGCAUGCCGCGGUGAAUACGUUCCCGGGCCUU
RNAcentral lists this ribosomal RNA (350 nucleotides) under uncultured Anoxybacillus sp. RNAcentral describes it as "bacterial SSU rRNA". It matches the Rfam family "Bacterial small subunit ribosomal RNA", at positions 1031 to 1382 of the family's 1533-position model. Lineage: Bacteria; Bacillati; Bacillota; Bacilli; Caryophanales; Anoxybacillaceae. The record is from RNAcentral.